CGCGUAGGCGGUUUGUACAGUCAGAAGUGAAAUUCCUGGGCUCAACCUGGGGACUGCUUUUGAUACGUGCAGACUUGAGUGAGGAAGAGGGUUGUGGAAUUUCCAGUGUAGAGGUGAAAUUCGUAGAUAUUGGAAAGAACACCGGUGGCGAAGGCGGCAACCUGGUCCUUUACUGACGCUGAGGCGCGAAAGCGUGGGGAGCAAACAGGAUUAGAUACCCUGGUAGUCCACGCUGUAAACGAUGUGUGCUGGAUGUUGGGGAACUUAGUUUCUCAGUGUCGUAGCUAACGCGAUAAGCACACCGCCUGGGGAGUACGGCCGCAAGGUUGA
RNAcentral lists this ribosomal RNA (330 nucleotides) under uncultured bacterium. RNAcentral describes it as "bacterial SSU rRNA". It matches the Rfam family "Bacterial small subunit ribosomal RNA", at positions 568 to 897 of the family's 1533-position model. The record is from RNAcentral.